GAUGAACGCUGGCGGCGUGCCUAGUACAUGCAAGUCGAGCGAACAGACGAGGAGCUUGCUCCUUUGACGUUAGCGGCGGACGGGUGAGUAACACGUGGGUAACCUACCUAUAAGACUGGGAUAACUUCGGGAAACCGGAGCUAAUACCGGAUAAUAUUUCGAACCGCAUGGUUCGAUAGUGAAAGAUGGCUUUGCUAUCACUUAUAGAUGGACCUGCGCCGUAUUAGCUAGUUGGUAAGGUAACGGCUUACCAAGGCAACGAUACGUAGCCGACCUGAGAGGGUGAUCGGCCACACUGGAACUGAGACACGGUCCAGACUCCUACGGGAGGCAGCAGUGGGGAAGCUUCCGCAAUGGGCGAAAGCCUGACGGAGCAACGCCGCGUGAGUGAUGAAGGUCUUCGGAUCGUAAAACUCUGUUAUUAGGGAAGAACAAACGUGUAAGUAACUGUGCACGUCUUGACGGUACCUAAGCAGAAAGCCACGGCUAACUACGU
This 496-nucleotide ribosomal RNA is filed under the name uncultured bacterium. RNAcentral's name for it is "partial 16S ribosomal RNA". It matches the Rfam family "Bacterial small subunit ribosomal RNA", at positions 28 to 506 of the family's 1533-position model. The record is from RNAcentral.